This 601-nucleotide ribosomal RNA is filed under the name uncultured bacterium. Its description in RNAcentral is "bacterial SSU rRNA". It matches the Rfam family "Bacterial small subunit ribosomal RNA", at positions 60 to 690 of the family's 1533-position model. The record is from RNAcentral.
AGUUGAGCGAUUUACUUCGGUAAGAGCGGCGGACGGGUGAGUAACGCGUGGGUAACCUACCCUGUACACACGGAUAACAUACCGAAAGGUAUGCUAAUACGGGAUAAUAUAUUUGAGAGGCAUCUCUUAAAUAUCAAAGGUGAGCCAGUACAGGAUGGACCCGCGUCUGAUUAGCUAGUUGGUAAGGUAACGGCUUACCAAGGCGACGAUCAGUAGCCGACCUGAGAGGGUGAUCGGCCACAUUGGAACUGAGACACGGUCCAAACUCCUACGGGAGGCAGCAGUGGGGAAUAUUGCACAAUGGGCGAAAGCCUGAUGCAGCAACGCCGCGUGAGUGAUGAAGGCCUUCGGGUCGUAAAACUCUGUCCUCAAGGAAGAUGAUGACGGUACUUGAGGAGGAAGCCCCGGCUAACUACGUGCCAGCAGCCGCGGUAAUACGUAGGGGGCUAGCGUUAUCCGGAUUUACUGGGCGUAAAGGGUGCGUAGGCGGUCUUUCAAGUCAGGAGUGAAAGGCUACGGCUCAACCGUAGUAAGCUCUUGAAACUGGGAGACUUGAGUGCAGGAGAGGAGAGUGGAAUUCCUAGUGUAGCGGUGAAAUGCG